AAUGGAUUAAGUUUUUUAUUCAGUACUUGCUCACCCAAGAAUUGAGAGAGUUUGGCUAUGAUCUAUUCAGUACUCACAGAUUUAAAUAUGGAUUCACUUAAAGAUAUUUGUUCAAGAUUCAAGAGUUCCCAGAUUAUACUAAAACUUGGAAUCCUUUUUUCCAUGUGAAAAUGAGAAGUCACCGUCUGUCCUUGUUCAAGUAGAAAUAGGCACGUGUUUUUAUUUUCUCCUUUGACUAGAAGAGUAUUUCUAUAAAUAGGGAUUACCCUAGCCUAGAAAUGGAAUACGUUUCCUAUUCAGCACUUGCCCAUUCGGGUAUUGAGAUAGUUCGGCCGUAAAUUUGGGAUCACUGUAAAAGACCGCAGAUGAAGACGGAUUCGCUUUAAGAUAUUUGGUCAUGCUUCAA
Molecule: long non-coding RNA, 406 nt
Organism: Capsicum annuum
Lineage: Eukaryota; Viridiplantae; Streptophyta; Magnoliopsida; Solanales; Solanaceae
Exons: 2
Source: RefSeq, a predicted model, not a curated record